UACGUAGGGGGCUAGCGUUGUCCGGAUUUAUUGGGCGUAAAGAGCGUGUAGGCGGCCAGGUAGGUCUGCUGUGAAAACUCGAGGCUCAACCUCGAGACGUCGGCGGAAACCAUCUGGCUAGAGUCCGGAAGAAGAGAGUGGAAUUCCUGGUGUAGCGGUGAAAUGCGCAGAUAUCAGGAAGAACACCCGUGGCGAAGGCGGCUCUCUGGGACGGUACUGACGCUGAGACGCGAAAGCGUGGGGAGCGAACAGG
This 253-nucleotide ribosomal RNA is filed under the name uncultured bacterium. RNAcentral describes it as "partial 16S ribosomal RNA". It matches the Rfam family "Bacterial small subunit ribosomal RNA", at positions 524 to 776 of the family's 1533-position model. The record is from RNAcentral.